Molecule: transfer RNA, 85 nt
Filed under: Candidatus Uhrbacteria bacterium RIFCSPHIGHO2_01_FULL_46_23
Lineage: Bacteria; Candidatus Uhriibacteriota
Also listed under: 2 other names
Description: tRNA-Leu
Rfam family: tRNA
About the family: Transfer RNA (tRNA) molecules are approximately 80 nucleotides in length. Their secondary structure includes four short double-helical elements and three loops (D, anti-codon, and T loops).
Source: RNAcentral
GCCGCGGUGGCGGAACUGGCAGACGCGCCGGCCUUAAGAGCCGUUGUCCUUUAAAGACGUGUGGGUUCGACUCCCUCCCGCGGCA